AUAACGGCGUCGAGCGGCGGACGGGUGAGUAAUGCCUAGGAAAUUUGCCCUGAUGUGGGGGAUAACCAUUGGAAACGAUGGCUAAUACCGCAUGAUGCCUACGGGCCAAAGAGGGGGACCUUCGGGCCUCUCGCGUCAGGAUAUGCCUAGGUGGGAUUAGCUAGUUGGUGAGGUAAGGGCUCACCAAGGCGACGAUCCCUAGCUGGUCUGAGAGGAUGAUCAGCCACACUGGAACUGAGACACGGUCCAGACUCCUACGGGAGGCAGCAGUGGGGAAUAUUGCACAAUGGGCGCAAGCCUGAUGCAGCCAUGCCGCGUGUAUGAAGAAGGCCUUCGGGUUGUAAAGUACUUUCAGUCGUGCAGGGGUCGCCGUUCGUUAAUAGCGGCGUUGUUUGACGUUAGCGACAGAAGAAGCACCGGCUAACUCCGUGCCAGCAGCCGCGGUAAUACGGAGGGUGCGAGCGUUAAUCGGAAUUACUGGGCGUAAAGCGCAUGCAGGUGGUUUGUUAAGUCAGAUGUGAAAGCCCGGGGCUCAACCUCGGAAUAGCAUUUGAAACUGGCAGACUAGAGUACUGUAGAGGGGGGUAGAAUUUCAGGUGUAGCGGUGAAAUGCGUAGAGAUCUGAAGGAAUACCGGUGGCCAAGGCGGCCCCCUGGACAGAUACUGACACUCAGAUGCGAAAGCGUGGGGGAGCACACAGGAUUAAAUACCCUGGUAGUCCACCCCGUAAACGAUGUCUACUUUGGAAGGUUGUGGCCCUUCACCCCUUGGCUUUUCGGAGCUAACCCCCUUUAAUUAAAACCGCCCUGCCGGAAGUACGGUUCGCCAGGAUUUAAAACUCCAAUUGAAUUUUAACCGGGGGCCCCCCCCCAACCCGUUGGAAC
Molecule: ribosomal RNA, 884 nt
Filed under: Vibrio sp.
Lineage: Bacteria; Pseudomonadati; Pseudomonadota; Gammaproteobacteria; Vibrionales; Vibrionaceae
Description: bacterial SSU rRNA
Rfam family: Bacterial small subunit ribosomal RNA
Source: RNAcentral